GAUGAAGAACGCAGCGAAAUGCGAUAAGUAGUGUGAAUUGCAGAAUUCAGUGAAUCAUCGAAUCUUUGAACGCACAUUGCGCCUCUUGGUAUUCCAUGGGGCAUGCCUGUUCGAGCGUCAUUUGUACCUUCAAGCUUUGCUUGGUGUUGGGUGUUUGUCCCUCGGGACUCGCCUUAAAGUCAUUGGCAGCCAGUGUUUUGGUUUUGAAGCGCAGCACAAGUCGCGAUUCAAGGCUAUCCGCCCGCUUCCACAAGCCUUUUUCACUUUUGACCUCGGAUCAGGUAGGGAUACCCGCUGAACUUAAGCAUAUCAAUAAGCGGAGGA
This 324-nucleotide unclassified non-coding RNA is filed under the name soil metagenome. Its description in RNAcentral is "partial contains 5.8S ribosomal RNA, internal transcribed spacer 2, and large subunit ribosomal RNA". The stretch from base 1 to 120 matches the Rfam family "5.8S ribosomal RNA", at positions 35 to 154 of the family's 154-position model. The record is from RNAcentral.